Molecule: small nucleolar RNA, 94 nt
Organism: Lathyrus oleraceus (garden pea)
Lineage: Eukaryota; Viridiplantae; Streptophyta; Magnoliopsida; Fabales; Fabaceae
Source: RefSeq, a predicted model, not a curated record
UUGAAGGCAAUGAUGUUCUCAACUACCUAUUUUAUGAAAGAAUAGAAAAUUCUAUUGUGAUUAGAAAUUACCAAUGGAUCCUUCUGAGCCUUCU